GGGCCCGCACAAGCGGUGGAGCAUGUGGUUUAAUUCGAUGAUACGCGAGGAACCUUACCAGGGCUUAAAUGGGAGAUGACAGGGGCAGAGACGCCCUUUUCUUCGGACAUCUUUCAAGGUGCUGCAUGGUUGUCGUCAGCUCGUGCCGUGAGGUGUCAGGUUAAGUCCUAUAACGAGCGCAACCCCUACCGUUAGUUGCCAGCGAUUCAAGUCGGGGACUCUAACGGGACUGCCGGUGCAAACCGUGAGGAAGGUGGGGACGACGUCAAAUCAUCACGGCCCUUACGUCCUGGGCUACACACGUGCUACAAUGGUCGGUACAGAGGGAAGCUACCCCGUAAGGGGAUGCGGAUCUAUAAAACCGAUCUCAGUUCGGAUCGCAGUCUGCAACUCGACUGCGUGAAGCUGGAAUCGCUAG
This 418-nucleotide ribosomal RNA is filed under the name uncultured bacterium. RNAcentral describes it as "bacterial SSU rRNA". It matches the Rfam family "Bacterial small subunit ribosomal RNA", at positions 917 to 1338 of the family's 1533-position model. The record is from RNAcentral.